RNAcentral lists this ribosomal RNA (473 nucleotides) under uncultured organism. RNAcentral describes it as "partial 16S ribosomal RNA". It matches the Rfam family "Bacterial small subunit ribosomal RNA", at positions 335 to 799 of the family's 1533-position model. The record is from RNAcentral.
ACUCCUACGGGAGGCAGCAGUGGGGAAUUUUGGACAAUGGGCGAAAGCCUGAUCCAGCCAUGCCGCGUGCAGGAUGAAGGCCUUCGGGUUGUAAACUGCUUUUGUACGGAACGAAACGGCCUUUUCUAAUAAAGAGGGCUAAUGACGGUACCGUAAGAAUAAGCACCGGCUAACUACGUGCCAGCAGCCGCGGUAAUACGUAGGGUGCAAGCGUUAAUCGGAAUUACUGGGCGUAAAGCGUGCGCAGGCGGUUAUGUAAGACAGUUGUGAAAUCCCCGGGCUCAACCUGGGAACUGCAUCUGUGACUGCAUAGCUAGAGUACGGUAGAGGGUGAUGGAAUUCCGCGUGUAGCAGUGAAAUGCGUAGAUAUGCGGAGGAACACCGAUGGCGAAGGCAAUCCCCUGGACCUGUACUGACGCUCAUGCACGAAAGCGUGGGGAGCAAACAGGAUUAGAUACCCCAGUAGUCCCAUG